Molecule: ribosomal RNA, 405 nt
Filed under: Polypedates impresus
Lineage: Eukaryota; Metazoa; Chordata; Amphibia; Anura; Rhacophoridae
Description: partial 16S ribosomal RNA
Rfam family: Bacterial large subunit ribosomal RNA
Source: RNAcentral
CUUGACUAUAAUAAGAGGUCCAGCCUGCCCAGUGAAUUUUAAACGGCCGCGGUAUCCUAACCGCGCGAAGGUAGCAUAAUCACUUGUUCUUUAAAUGGGGACUCGUAUCAACGGCAUCACGAGGGUUUUACUGUCUCCUCUUUUUGAUCAGUGAAAUUGAUCUUCCCGUGAAGAAGCGGGAAUAUUUAUAUAAGACGAGAAGACCCCAUGGAGCUUCAAACCAAAUAACAACUUAACCACUCAACCCAUAAUAAAUUUAAGCCAUGUUAUAAGGUUUUGGGUUGGGGUGACCGCGGAGUAAAGCACAUCCUCCACGACGGAAAGAACACAAUCUUUAUUUAAGAACUACAAUUCUAGAAAUUAGUAUACUAACGUUUACUGACCCGAUAAUCGAUCAACGGACCA